CAAGGUAUAGUUUAUAAGAAUAUCAGCUUUGGGUGCUGAAGGUGGGGUGUUUGCUUCUUCCUUGA
Molecule: transfer RNA, 65 nt
Filed under: Crocidura wuchihensis
Lineage: Eukaryota; Metazoa; Chordata; Mammalia; Eulipotyphla; Soricidae
Description: tRNA-Pro
Source: RNAcentral